Molecule: ribosomal RNA, 497 nt
Filed under: Listeria innocua
Lineage: Bacteria; Bacillati; Bacillota; Bacilli; Caryophanales; Listeriaceae
Description: bacterial SSU rRNA
Rfam family: Bacterial small subunit ribosomal RNA
Source: RNAcentral
GACGAACGCUGGCGGCGUGCCUAAUACAUGCAAGUCGAACGAACGGAGGAAGAGCUUGCUCUUCCAAAGUUAGUGGCGGACGGGUGAGUAACACGUGGGCAACCUGCCUGUAAGUUGGGGAUAACUCCGGGAAACCGGGGCUAAUACCGAAUGAUAGAGUGUGGCGCAUGCCACGCUYUUGAAAGAUGGUUUCGGCUAUCGCUUACAGAUGGGCCCGCGGUGCAUUAGCUAGUUGGUAGGGUAAUGGCCUACCAAGGCAACGAUGCAUAGCCGACCUGAGAGGGUGAUCGGCCACACUGGGACUGAGACACGGCCCAGACUCCUACGGGAGGCAGCAGUAGGGAAUCUUCCGCAAUGGACGAAAGUCUGACGGAGCAACGCCGCGUGUAUGAAGAAGGUUUUCGGAUCGUAAAGUACUGUUGUUAGAGAAGAACAAGGAUAAGAGUAACUGCUUGUCCCUUGACGGUAUCUAACCAGAAAGCCACGGCUAACUACGU